Non-coding RNA from Panus rudis PR-1116 ss-1, 108 nucleotides. NCBI's taxonomy places the organism in Eukaryota, Fungi, Basidiomycota, Agaricomycetes, Polyporales, Panaceae. The record is from the annotation of a GenBank genome assembly.
GCUUCCAUGGCUCAGUUGGUUAGAGCGCAGGUCUCAUACAGGUUAUGUAUGCCCUGAUCACUUGAUUGGGUAAUCCUGAGGUCGUGAGUUUGAUCCUCACUGGGAGCA